AUGGAGAAUAUGCUGGGAUAUGCAUUAAUAGUCAUGUGCCUUCAGUUUGACUGGUCAAGUGGAGAAGACCAAGUGGAACAGAGUCCUCGGGCACUGAUACUCCAGGAGGGAGAUGAUUCCAGCCUCAACUGCAGUUACUCAGCCACCUAUUUUAGAAGCCUACAGUGGUAUAAGCAAGAUCCUGGGGAAGGUCCUGAAUUCCUCUUCCUCCUGUAUUCAGUUGGGGAAAAAAAGCAGAAAGAGAGACUUAGAGGCACGUUAUCAAAACAGGAAAGUUCCCUGCACAUCACAGCCUCUAAACCUGAAGACUCAGCCACUUACUUCUGUGCUGUGGACACAGUGCUCUCCUGGCACCUGCAGCUUAUACGAAAACCCUACAGCUGUGCUCUUGAAUAA
Loxodonta africana (African savanna elephant) is the source of this 396-nucleotide non-coding RNA. The record is from the annotation of a RefSeq genome assembly. Lineage: Eukaryota; Metazoa; Chordata; Mammalia; Proboscidea; Elephantidae.